Molecule: non-coding RNA, 288 nt
Organism: Pantherophis guttatus
Lineage: Eukaryota; Metazoa; Chordata; Lepidosauria; Squamata; Colubridae
Source: RefSeq, a predicted model, not a curated record
AGGGCAACCCAUCACUGAUGCAGACUGAACUGAAAAUUAGCCACCGUAACGUUCCCACAGACAUUAUGUGAUGGAAUCCAAUACAUUUAGGGAAUUGAUGGAGCCAAGCUACAAGAUCCUAUAGCAGAAAACUGAAAGGCAAUCUACUCCACCCUCCCAGAGUGCAAUGAUGAGCAAAAUAUGCCGUUCCUUUGUGUAUCGGGUUCACCCGUGGUGAUAAAAUCAAAGAGCGCUGAAAUAAAGACCAAAUCCUGCUGGGAAUCAGCAGGAGUUGCACCCAUGAUCUUA